GAGGAAUAUUGGUCAAUGGGCGAGAGCCUGAACCAGCCAAGUAGCGUGCAGGAUGACGGCCCUAUGGGUUGUAAACUGCUUUUGUAUGGGGAUAAAGUCAAUCACGUGUGAUUGUUUGCAGGUACCAUACGAAUAAGGACCGGCUAAUUCCGUGCCAGCAGCCGCGGUAAUACGGAAGGUCCGGGCGUUAUCCGGAUUUAUUGGGUUUAAAGGGAGCGUAGGCUGGAGAUUAAGUGUGUUGUGAAAUAUAGACGCUCAACGUCUGACUUGCAGCGCAUACUGGUUUCCUUGAGUACGCACAACGUUGGCGGAAUUCGUCGUGUAGCGGUGAAAUGCUUAGAUAUGACGAAGAACUCCGAUUGCGAAGGCAGCUGACGGGAGCGCAACUGACGCUGAAGCUCGAAGGUGCGGGUAUCGAACAGGAUUAGAUACCCUGGUAGUCCGCACAGUAAACGAUGGAUGCCCGCUGUUGGUACCUGGUAUCAGCGGCUAAGCGAAAGCAUUAAGCAUCCCACCUGGGGAGUACGCCGGCAACGGUG
RNAcentral lists this ribosomal RNA (539 nucleotides) under uncultured bacterium. RNAcentral describes it as "bacterial SSU rRNA". It matches the Rfam family "Bacterial small subunit ribosomal RNA", at positions 356 to 896 of the family's 1533-position model. The record is from RNAcentral.